CGCUCGACAUCAGAGUUUGAUCCUGGCUCAGGAUGAACGCUGGCGGCGUGCCUAACACAUGCAAGUCGAGCGCGGUCCCUUUGGUGCUUGCACCAAAGACGACUGAGCGGCGGACGGGUGAGUAACGCGUGGGUAACCUGCCCUGUACAUAUGGAUAACAUGCUGAAAAGCAUACUAAUACAUAAUAACGUACAUUGAAGGCAUCUUCGAUGUAUCAAAGCGUUAGCGGUACAGGAUGGACCCGCGUCUGAUUAGCUAGUUGGUGGGGUAAAAGCCUACCAAGGCGACGAUCAGUAGCCGACCUGAGAGGGUGAUCGGCCACAUUGGAACUGAGACACGGUCCAA
Molecule: ribosomal RNA, 345 nt
Filed under: uncultured bacterium
Lineage: Bacteria
Description: bacterial SSU rRNA
Rfam family: Bacterial small subunit ribosomal RNA
Source: RNAcentral